UACGUAGGGGGCAAGCGUUGUCCGGAAUCAUUGGGCGUAAAGCGCGCGUAGGUGGCCCGGUAAGUCCGCUGUAAAAGUCCAGGGCUCAACCCUGGAAAGCCGGUGGAUACUGUCGGGCUAGAGUCCGGAAGAGGCGAGUGGAAUUCCUGGUGUAGCGGUGGAAUGCGCAGAUAUCGGGAAGAACACCCGUGGCGAAGGCGGUUCUCUGGGACGGUACUGACGCUGAGACGCGAAAGCGUGGGGAGCGAACAGG
This 253-nucleotide ribosomal RNA is filed under the name uncultured bacterium. RNAcentral's name for it is "partial 16S ribosomal RNA". It matches the Rfam family "Bacterial small subunit ribosomal RNA", at positions 524 to 776 of the family's 1533-position model. The record is from RNAcentral.